UUGAGAACGUUUUAAUAAGCUUAAAGUUUAUACUAAUUUAAUUGACUAUAACUAAGUAUUUAGUGUGUAUAUAUAUAUGUAUAUAUGUACAUGUGUAUUAACAUAAAUGAAUAAAUAGUAUAUAGGGGUUACUGUAACAAUUUCUUUUUAAAGGAGGCUCAAAAGCAUUUUUCUUCUCUAAAAAAAAAAUUGAUUUGGGUCCUUGAGCAUAUCCUCCUUGAACUUUUGUUUUCUACCGCCGCUAGACGUUAAGCUCCGGCUAAAGGAACCUUGCAGCGUUGCCAACACCGUGUCGUCUUCUCUCUCUCCGCUUGAAGCCGUCGUUAACAUCGAGGAAGAAGGAAAGAAGCCGCCCUCCGCUGCCAACGUUGAAUCACCUCGUUGCCGUCAUUCUUCGGCCAAUCCAAUAUCGAAAAUAGCUUCCCCGCCCCACUAAAACCCAGACCUGGGCAGUUACAGCCUCUGAUGUUGUUGCUGGACAGGUGAUUGGAGUAGGUGUGGUUUCGCUGGAAUUGUUCUGUAUUUGGCGACUUUGGUGGACUUCCGGGUCAUUUGGAGAAGAUAAUAACAUAUCUAGACUCCCAACAACUUGAUCAACAAUUUGGCAUCCUCGCACCUUCGUCGAAAAAAUUUCGGCGAAAGGACUCCGGUGACCUCGUGACGCGUGCUGGCGGGCAGAAAAUUCGUCUCGGUUUCUCCAUUUAUCAGAUGCCCUGUCGAUCCAGCCAGCUCAACUCGAGGCGUAGGAGCAGUUACUAGAGAUUCAACAUAACUAGUCAGGAAGAAUGAUGCAGCUUUGGUGGUCCGACUCCUGUCAAAUAAUUGAUAAAUAUUAAAAGUGUUUCUAGUAGAUUGUGGAUCUGUUAUACUAGGGGUAAACGUUUGUAUUUUAGUGGAGGUUCUGCUAAAUUUUCGAUAGAAUUUCGGAGUCGAAAUUUUUAGACAGUCAAUUCUAGGAGUCUAGGUCUAGGGUUGUUUACUAGAUAUUUUAUUUUAUUGGUUGUGUUAUUCCCAUAAAUACAUAUCCCGUCGAUCCAGCUCCACCCGAGGCAUAUGAGCAAUUAGUGAAGAUUCGAUAGAAUUGUGAUAGCUAGGUUCUCCGCCUUCUUUCUUUGGACAAUCUGACUUCCUUCUCCUUCGGGCUUAUUGUAAUUAAUUUUCUUUUUUUUACAUUUCGAAUUAUUUAAAAAUCUACACUUUCUGCAAUAGUGUUUUGAAACUUUAAUAUUUUAUUUGGCAUGUUAAAUCUAUAGGAAAAUAUUAAGCGAUCAU
Long non-coding RNA from Ricinus communis (castor bean), 1272 nucleotides. RefSeq lists it as uncharacterized. The transcript is spliced from 4 exons. Lineage: Eukaryota; Viridiplantae; Streptophyta; Magnoliopsida; Malpighiales; Euphorbiaceae. The record is from RefSeq and is a predicted model, not a curated record.